This 253-nucleotide ribosomal RNA is filed under the name uncultured bacterium. RNAcentral's name for it is "partial 16S ribosomal RNA". It matches the Rfam family "Bacterial small subunit ribosomal RNA", at positions 524 to 776 of the family's 1533-position model. The record is from RNAcentral.
GACAGACGGGGCGAGUGUUGUCCGGAGUCACUGGGCGUAAAGCGCGCGCAGGCGGCAACCUCAGAGUCGUGUGAAAGCCCCCGGCUCAACCGGGGGAGGCCAUGGCAAACUGGGUCGCUCGAGCUGCGGAGAGGCCCCUCGAAUUGCCGGUGUAGCGGUGAAAUGCGUAGAGAUCGGCAGGAAGACCAAGGGGGAAGCCAGGGGGCGGGCCGCAGGGUGACGCUGAGGCGCGACAGCGUGGGGAGCAAACCGG